RNAcentral lists this unclassified non-coding RNA (1988 nucleotides) under Hevea brasiliensis (rubber tree). The record is from RNAcentral. Lineage: Eukaryota; Viridiplantae; Streptophyta; Magnoliopsida; Malpighiales; Euphorbiaceae.
UGAAAUUUGGUAUGCAAUCUUUCAUUCUCCUUCUGUCUAAUCAGAUUUCUUUUGUUUCUAAUCUUUUUUGUGAAUCACUGUUGUUUUCUUCUUGUGGUUUAAUAGUAUCAUUAGAUUCGUUCUUGCAAGAUUACUUAGCAAUUGACUUGUUUGUUGUGUUUUCCUUUCUUUCUUUUUUUUUUUUUUUGAUUAAAGGAACAAGACAAACUCAAACCAAGGAAGCAUCAGCACGUCUCUGCACUGAGCAAAACCAGAGGCAUCUUGAAAAAGCAGUCGACCCAGCUGGAGAAACCAGUAUGUGAGGGCCAAGAUCAAAAGAAAAAGCACUGUUGGCAAGCCAGUCUGCAACAACACUUGCUUCUCUGUAGACAUGAACAAUCUGAACAUCCCAUUUCCUCUUUAGCUAUCAUAUUUUUAACAGCAAGAACAAAAGACACAUAAAUAUCGUAGCUAAAUUUUUAAAUCUUAGCAUAUAUGCUAGCUAAGAUUUAAUUAAUACAUAAAUGAACAAAGACACAUAAAUCUUAGCAUAGGUAGCUCAUACGCUAAGCUUGUUCAUCUCCUUUCUAAGAGCAUUAGCCCUCACCAAGCUCCCAAUGGUAUUGAAAGCCAACUUCAAAUCGUCCAAAGGAUUCCCGGGUACCACCUUCUUGUACAAAUAGCUAUCGAAAGUCAUUUUCUGCACAUACUCAUCUGCACACAUCUCCACGAAUGCCUCUCUUGCUGGGUUCGAUCUGUAGAAUACUUUCUGCAACACAUCCAGCACCUUGUAUGUUGGCCAAUACGUUUUGUCCCAUUUCUCCAAGUACUUCCUCAGGUCACUCUCAUCCACCAUCCUCUUCCCAUUCCCUGACCCCUCAACGAUUGCCUCCGCGCACAUUCUCCCACUCUUCGCCGCAAAGUAGAUGCCCUCGCCUGAACAUUUCGUCACAUACCCUGCCGCAUCCCCUACUAGUGCUACUCUGUCUGAUAACCUGCGUGGCCUCGGGUGUUCUGGUAUUGGGUGUGCCUCUACUCGAAUAAUCAUGCCCCCAAGGAUCUUGUCUUUGGCUCUAUUUCUUGUAGCUAAUUGGAACUUCUUGAUGUCUCCUUUGUGAGUGACUGUGCCAGUUCCAACAGCAACAUGGUCACAUUUGGGGAACACCCAUCCAUAAAAGUCUGGAGAUACAUCAUCACCGACAUACAUUUCAGCUAGGUUCUCAUAGUACACCAUUUUAUCAUCAGGGAUUCUGAUUCUCUCCUGAAAAGCAAUGGCGUAGUCAUAAUCACCAGCACCAAUGGACUUGGCAACACGGGAAUUGGCUCCAUCAGCACCAAUUACUGCAUCAACCUCCAGAGUCUUCUUCUGUCCUGCCCCACCUACCUUUCCAUUAUACUCCGUGUAAUGGAGGACAUAAGGUGCAGUCUCGCUGCCUCUACCACCCUUUGGAAUGUCCAUUUUCAAGAACAAACCAUUGAUGACAUUGGCCCCAUUACUCGCCGCUCUCUCUCUCAAGUAAGAAUCAAGCACCUCGCGUCUCACCAUCCCAAUGUACUCGUGGGGCUUCAGAGUUUGCCCAAUGUCCACGGCGAUGUUGGAAGGGGAGAUCAUCUUCAUCUUGGUCACCUUGCGGUCUAUGAUGUCUAAUGGCAAGUCAAACUCGCCCACCAUGCAAAGAGGAAUUGCUCCGCCGCAUGGUUUGCAGUUGUCGAGCUUGCGUUCGAUGAGGUAGGUCUCAAUGCCACCUUUAGCAAGGGUCUCGGCGGCUGCGCCACCGGCGGGGCCACCGCCGAUGACUGCUACUCUGAGGUUGCGGUUCUGGAGCUUGGGACUGGAUAUGCCAGCGGUUAUCUGAAGGCGGCGCUGGCAAUAGUUGGGAGGGGAAAUGUUGUGUAACUGGGAAUGGAGUUUGGGAGGUUCAGCCGAGGAAUGGCGGAGUCCGGUGAAGGACUUGAAGGCGAUGGAGGAAGUCAUUCUGGUCUUAGGUGUGAAAUUUUUGGUGGAGCUU